UUUACAAAAUUUAUAUGAACAUGAUAAACGCCAAUACAUUUAGUUGGUGCAAAAAGCGCUAUUUCAAAUAGCUUUAGUCUGCCGCUCAUGUAUUGACUAUGAGCAAAUGAUAAAGAAACUCACCAAAGUUAUAGAGGUACCAGACUUAUCAUUUUAAUUAUUAUGAUGAUUUUCAAUCCUCAUUAUUGUACUUCUUAUUGAAAUAGAUAAACUAGCGUAUAUCGGAC
Molecule: long non-coding RNA, 227 nt
Filed under: Mytilus galloprovincialis (Mediterranean mussel)
Lineage: Eukaryota; Metazoa; Mollusca; Bivalvia; Mytilida; Mytilidae
Source: RNAcentral